CUGGCUCAGGAUAAACGCUGGCGGCGUGCUUAACACAUGCAAGUCGAACGGAGUGGUUCUCCCGAGGAUUGAAGGUGCUUGCACCAGAUUGACUCAUUGAAUCACUUAGUGGCGGACGGGUGAGUAACGCGUGGGAAACCUGCCCUAUACUGGGGGAUAGCAGUUGGAAACGACUGAUAAUACCGCAUAAGCGCACAGCUUCGCAUGAAGCAGUGUGAAAAACUCCGGUGGUAUAGGAUGGUCCCGCGUCUGAUUAGCUAGUUGGUGAGGUAACGGCCCACCAAGGCGACGAUCAGUAGCCGGCCUGAGAGGGUGUACGGCCACAUUGGGACUGAGACACGGCCCAAACUCCUACGGGAGGCAGCAGCGGGGAAUAUUGGACAAUGGGGGAAACCCUGAUCCAGCCGACGCCGCGUGAACGAUGAAGUAUUUCGGUAUGUAAAGUUCUAUCAGCAGGGAAGAUAAUGACGGUACCUGACUAAGAAGCACCGGCUAAAUACGUGCCAGCCGCAGC
RNAcentral lists this ribosomal RNA (514 nucleotides) under uncultured bacterium. RNAcentral describes it as "bacterial SSU rRNA". It matches the Rfam family "Bacterial small subunit ribosomal RNA", at positions 19 to 518 of the family's 1533-position model. The record is from RNAcentral.